This 239-nucleotide ribosomal RNA is filed under the name uncultured Burkholderiales bacterium. RNAcentral's name for it is "partial 16S ribosomal RNA". It matches the Rfam family "Bacterial small subunit ribosomal RNA", at positions 529 to 766 of the family's 1533-position model. Lineage: Bacteria; Pseudomonadati; Pseudomonadota; Betaproteobacteria; Burkholderiales. The record is from RNAcentral.
AGGGGGCGAGCGUUAAUGGGMAUUACUGGGCGUAAAGGGUGCGCAGGCGGUUAUGUAGGGCAGAUGGGAAAUCCCGGGGCUCGUCGGGGGAACWGCAUUUGUGACUGCAUGGCUAGAGGUACGGUAGAGGGGGAUGGAAUUCCGCGUGUAGCAGUGAAAUGCGCAGAUAUGCGGAGGAACACCGAUGGCGAAGGCAGUCCCCUGGUCCUGUACUGACCCUCAKGCAUGAAAGGCUUGGG